This is a long non-coding RNA of Arabidopsis lyrata subsp. lyrata, 492 nucleotides long. RefSeq lists it as uncharacterized. The record is from RefSeq and is a predicted model, not a curated record. Lineage: Eukaryota; Viridiplantae; Streptophyta; Magnoliopsida; Brassicales; Brassicaceae. The transcript has 5 exons.
GCUUGGAAAAUUUGUAGAGGAAAUCGCCAUCUAUGUAGGGUUCUUCCUUGUUUCGAGUCCCGAUCUCCUCUCUCAAUCUCAGUCUUCAGCUUCCGAAUUGACUUUCAACAAGAAGACGUCGACAUCUGAUGAACCUAAGCCAAAGAGACUUAGAAAGGCCAAGGAUACGAAGACGAGCUCUUCUAUCUUAAACAUGCCCUAACAACCUCUUACGGCUUCUUUAUCUUCAUGAAUGAAUUCUGUCAUUCUUUUAGACGAGAGCAUCUAAGUUCUCUCAUUAAGGAUGUUUCAAAGAUCGGUGGUGAAAAGUGGAAUUCUAUGACUGGGGAAUUGAGUUGCUUUAUUAUCUUGUUUAUUCUUUAGUUUCAUGGUGAUUUGUUUACUCUUUGUACUUUGAGAUAUUAGUACUCUUGUUGUGUAUAAGAGUAGUAGUUGAAUUUUUGUAUAAGACUUGUUAUAUAUGUUUUUAAUAAUUUAUGUAAUAAAAAUAAA